UUAACCNUAGUAUGCUUUGGAAACUGUUUAACUUGAGUGCAAGAGGGGAGAGUGGAAUUCCAUGUGUAGCGGUGAAAUGCGUAGAUAUAUGGAGGAACACCGGUGGCGAAAGCGGCUCUCUGGCUUGUAACUGACGCUGAGGCUCGAAAGCGUGGGGAGUAAACAGGAUUAGAUACCCUGGUAGUNCACGCCGUAAACGAUGAGUGCUAGGUGUUAGACCCUUUCCGGGGUUUAGUGCCGCAGCUAACGCAUUAAGCACUCCGCCUGGGGAGUACGACCGCAAGGUUGAAACUCAAAGGAAUUGACGGGGGCCCGCACAAGCGGUGGAGCAUGUGGUUUAAUUCGAAGCAACGCGAAGAACCUUACCAGGUCUUGACAUCCCUCUGACCGCUCUAGAGAUAGAGCUUUCCUUCGGGACAGAGGUGACAGGUGGUGCAUGGUUGUCGUCAGCUCGUGUCGUGAGAUGUUGGGUUAAGUCCCGCAACGAGCGCGACCCCUAUUGUUAGUUGCCAUCAUUUAGUUGGGCACUCUAGCGAGACUGCCGGUAAUAAACCGGAGGAAGGUGGGGAUGACGUCAAAUCAUCAUGCCCCUUAUGACCUGGGCUACACACGUGCUACAAUGGCUGGUACAACGAGUCGCAAGCCGGUGACGGCAAGCUAAUCUCUUAAAGCCAGUCUCAGUUUGGAUUGUAGGCUGCAACUCGCCUACAUGAAGUCGGAAUCGCUAGUAAUCGCGGAUCAGCACGCCGCGGUGAAUACGUUCCCGGGCCUUGUACACACCGCCCGUCACACCACGAGAGUUUGUAAC
RNAcentral lists this ribosomal RNA (808 nucleotides) under uncultured bacterium. RNAcentral's name for it is "bacterial SSU rRNA". It matches the Rfam family "Bacterial small subunit ribosomal RNA", at positions 609 to 1418 of the family's 1533-position model. The record is from RNAcentral.